RNAcentral lists this ribosomal RNA (253 nucleotides) under uncultured bacterium. Its description in RNAcentral is "partial 16S ribosomal RNA". It matches the Rfam family "Bacterial small subunit ribosomal RNA", at positions 524 to 776 of the family's 1533-position model. The record is from RNAcentral.
UACGUAGGGUGCAAGCGUUGUCCGGAAUUAUUGGGCGUAAAGAGCUCGUAGGCGGUCUGUCGCGUCGGCUGUGAAAACCCGGAGCUCAACUCCGGGCCUGCAGUCGAUACGGGCAGACUGGAGUUCGGCAGGGGAGACUGGAAUUCCUGGUGUAGCGGUGAAAUGCGCAGAUAUCAGGAAGAACACCGGUGGCGAAGGCGGGUCUCUGGGCCGAUACUGACGCUGAGGAGCGAAAGCGUGGGGAGCGAACAGG